This 561-nucleotide ribosomal RNA is filed under the name uncultured Bacteroidota bacterium. Its description in RNAcentral is "bacterial SSU rRNA". It matches the Rfam family "Bacterial small subunit ribosomal RNA", at positions 356 to 914 of the family's 1533-position model. Lineage: Bacteria; Pseudomonadati; Bacteroidota. The record is from RNAcentral.
GGGGAAUAUUGGGCAAUGGGCGCAGCCCUGAUGCAGCAACGCCGCGUGAGGGACAGAAGGCCUUACGGGUUGGAAAGCUCUUUUAGUAGGGAAGAAAACCUCUCUACGUAUAGAAGGCUGACGGGACCAGUACCAAUAAAAAAAGGCUAGCUUUACGCCAGGACCCGAGGCAAUACGGAGGGGGCGGGCGUUAUGCGGAAUUAUUGGUCUUAAAGGGUACGGAGCGGAAAUGAUAAGCUAAAGCUGAAAUCUUACAGCUUAACUGUAAAACUGACAUUGAUACUAUAGUUCUUGAAUACAAUUGAAGAGGGCGGAAUGUGUCAUGUAGCGGUGAAAUGCUUAGAUAUGACACAGAACACCGAUUGCGAAGGCAGCUCACUAAGUUGUUAUUGACGCUGAGGCACGAAAGCGUGGCGAGCGAACAGGAUUAGAUACCCUGGUAGUCCACGCCGUAAACGAUGAUUACUCGGUAUUGGCGAUACACUGUCAGUGCCCAAGCGAAAGUUUUAAGUAAUCCACCUGGGAAGUACGUCGGCAACGAUGAAACUCAAAGGAAUUGAC